This is a long non-coding RNA of Phyllopteryx taeniolatus (common seadragon), 1218 nucleotides long. RefSeq lists it as uncharacterized. The record is from RefSeq and is a predicted model, not a curated record. Lineage: Eukaryota; Metazoa; Chordata; Actinopteri; Syngnathiformes; Syngnathidae. The transcript has 2 exons.
GUCCGGUUUCUUCCCACAUCCCCAAAACAUGCGUGGUAGGUUGAUUGAAGACUCUGAAUUGCCCAUAGGUCUGAAUGUGUGUGCGAAUGGUUGUUUGUUUCUAUGUACCCUGCGAUUGGCUGGCGACCAGUUCAGUGUGUACCCCGCCUCUCGCCUGAAGAUAGCUGGGAUAGGCUCCAGCAGCCUGUGACCCAAGUGAGGAUAAACGGUAAAGAAAAUGGAUGGAUGGAUGUUAUUUUCUGUUUACUGUUUACAGGCCCCUGAUUUCACCCUAUUUGGUUCCAAAGGUUCUUCCACUGUCCUUGACUAUAUAAUCCUUUGCGAGACAAGCCUCUCUUUGAUAAAACUUACUGCAACAAUGAGAACAUACCUGUUUCUGGCUUUGUAGCUCUGUGCCCUGCUGCCACUGUCAAAUCGCCAAUAUUCUGUCAUGGUGCUCGAACCAGGUGAAAAAUAAAUAUUUGUUGUUCUCUGUUCGGCGGACAAAUGGUUGGAGCGUCCGCCUCACAGUUCUGAGGACCGGGGUUCAAUCCCCGGCCCCGCCUGUGUGGAGUUUCAUAUGGAAUUAAUUAUGUACCAAAGGAACUUCGUUUUUAGUUUUUUUUGGUGUUGUGUUGUGUGAUAAUAUUACUGCCAAAAAUACGGUAUAAUGUGUGAUGUUUUCUAGUAUUUAUUGACAUAAAGAGGUUGCGAUGACCUUUAUCCUAUUUAUUUCCAAAGGUUCUUCAACUGUCCUUCACUUUAAUCCUUUGAGACCCAGGCCUCUUUUCAGUUUGAUAAGACUUAUUGCAACAAUGGUAAGUUUAAGCUGUUUUUUUUUGUUUUAAUUUUUAUGUAGUAUACCUCACUUUGAAUGGCAAAAAUGCUAUGUUUGCUUCUGUAAAAAAAAACAAAAAAAAGAACUGAUUAUAAAUUGUUUUCCCAUGUCCUCAGAGAGCAUACCUGUCUCUGGCUUUGCUGUUAUGUGCAAUGCUAUACAGAAUGUAUAACAGGGUUGACCCAUCUAUUGAAUGUGAAGAUUUUUUUGCAGUUGGAAAGUGAUGGAGCAAUAACAUCCCUCACUGACCACUUGCGAAGAAACAAAGCUACUUAUUUAAUACAAUAUAGUUGUAGUGCACUUGCAAUGCAGGAGGUUAAGCUGAUGGAAGAAGAAAAUGUAAUGUAAUUAAACAUUUGAGAUCAAAUGUGACAAAUGAAUAAAAAAAAUCUGCAAUCCCA